UUAAAAGUGAGGCUUUUGAACGCCAGGCAAUACGAAUCUCCACAAAAGGCAAAUGUGAUUCACUCUGCAGAGAGCUUUAGGCAGCUAAAGACCAAGCACUCAUUAAGUAUUCACUGUACAGUUAAGUUACAGUCCAAUGGUAUCCAGGUCUACUCAGAAAUAAUUCCAAACUCAGGUAAUUCUGAUAACUAUAAGAUUCACCCACAUGAAAAAAAAUGGCCUAAAGCCUAUAAUAAUAUAAAGAACAAGACUAUAGUGUUCAAACACAAUCGAAGCAAACCUGUGGAUGUAAAGAAGGAAUACUGCCCUAUUUUAUAAGAGAAAGAGAAAGCUGUUGACC
This is a long non-coding RNA of Podarcis raffonei (Aeolian wall lizard), 340 nucleotides long. RefSeq lists it as uncharacterized. The record is from RefSeq and is a predicted model, not a curated record. Lineage: Eukaryota; Metazoa; Chordata; Lepidosauria; Squamata; Lacertidae. The transcript is spliced from 3 exons.